CCUACGGGAGGCAGCAGUGGGGAAUGUUGCGCAAUGAGCGAAAGAGUGACGCAGCGACGCCGCGUGAAGGACGAAGGCCUUCGGGACGUAAAGUUCUGUCGACAGGGAAGAAAAUGCCUAUAAGUAACUGUGUAUGUAUUGACGGUACCUGUAUAAGCAGCCCCGGCUAACUCCGUGCCAGCAGCCGCGGUAAUACGGAGGGGGCGAGCGUUGUUCGGAGUGACUGGGCGUAAAGAGCACGUAGGCGGUGUUGUAAGUCAUUAGUCAAAGACUAGAGCGCAACUUUAGUAAGGCUAGUGAUACUCUCAUACUAGAGUAUCAGAGAGGAUUGCUGAAUUCCUGGUGUAGCGGU
Molecule: ribosomal RNA, 352 nt
Filed under: uncultured bacterium
Lineage: Bacteria
Description: partial 16S ribosomal RNA
Rfam family: Bacterial small subunit ribosomal RNA
Source: RNAcentral